This is a long non-coding RNA of Amphiprion ocellaris (clown anemonefish), 587 nucleotides long. NCBI's taxonomy places the organism in Eukaryota, Metazoa, Chordata, Actinopteri, Pomacentridae. The record is from Ensembl.
GUCAGGCGCACAUGGAGACUGUGCGCCGCAGCGCGUUACUGAUGCGCACAGGGAAGGUUGCAGGGGGGAGGAGGGGGAAGGGGUGACGACAGACUCGUCUCUGGCUGCUCUCGAUAAGCCUCCGCGCCAAACCGGACAGCACGACUGAAGCGAGUAUCCAAAAGCGUCCGAAAAGUACGAGCAGUGCAGCGGCGCAGCUCCGCCCCGAGGUGGCCUGGAUCUGGAGUGAUCAAGUGCGAGGAGCAGCCAACUCUUCUAGGACACCCCCACCUCCGACACCUCCGUCAGCGGCGGCACGCCUUGCAGCAUCAGAGACGGUGCUGAUGGAGGAAGAGGAGAGAGGGCGAGAGGUUUCCCAGAGACUAUGGGUUGAGGAGGAAGUGGAAGUUUGUCGGCUUAGACCUGGUGUCAUUCCAUCAGUGUUAAACUUCCCGGCUCAUCUUGGAAGAGUACGUGCCAGAAAGACCACGACCAAGCAGCCUUGAGAUCUUAGACAGCGUCUCCCUCAGACCAAAGAACUACAGACUCUUCACAACCUGCUCAAACUCUUGGUACAGGACCUCACCACACGGGUCAAGAAGGUUUCC